UCCUGGCUUAGGAUGAACGCUGGCGGCGUGCCUAACACAUGCAAGUCGAGCGAUUCUCUUCGGAGAAGAGCGGCGGACGGGUGAGUAACGCGUGGGUAACCUGCCCUAUACACACGGAUAACGUACCGAAAGGUACGCUAAUACGAGAUAAUAUGCUUUAGUCGCAUGGCUGAAGUAUCAAAGCUCCGGCGGUAUAGGAUGGACCCGCGUCUGAUUAGCUAGUUGGUAAGGUAAUGGCUUACCAAGGCGACGAUCAGUAGCCGACCUGAGAGGGUGAUCGGCCACAUUGGAACUGAGACACGGUCCAAACUCCUACGGGAGGCAGCAGUGGGGAAUAUUGCACAAUGGGCGAAAGCCUGAUGCAAGCAACGCCGCGUGAGCGAUGAAGGCCUUCGGGUCGUAAAGCUCUGUCCUCAAGGAAGAUAAUGACGGUACUUGAGGAGGAAGCCCCGGCUAACUACGUGCCAGCCGCAGC
This 475-nucleotide ribosomal RNA is filed under the name uncultured bacterium. RNAcentral's name for it is "bacterial SSU rRNA". It matches the Rfam family "Bacterial small subunit ribosomal RNA", at positions 17 to 518 of the family's 1533-position model. The record is from RNAcentral.